This 29-nucleotide non-coding RNA is filed under the name Mus musculus (house mouse). Lineage: Eukaryota; Metazoa; Chordata; Mammalia; Rodentia; Muridae. The record is from RNAcentral.
UNGCUACACAGGUGAUUAGUGGGAGGAGU